GGUGAGUAACACGUGAGUAACCUGCCCUUGACUUUGGGAUAACUCCAGGAAACUGGGGCUAAUACCGGAUAGGAGCUCCUGCCGCAUGGUGGGGGUUGGAAAGUUUCGGCGGUUGGGGAUGGACUCGCGGCUUAUCAGCUUGUUGGUGGGGUAGUGGCUUACCAAGGCUUUGACGGGUAGCCGGCCUGAGAGGGUGACCGGCCACAUUGGGACUGAGAUACGGCCCAG
RNAcentral lists this ribosomal RNA (228 nucleotides) under uncultured Actinomycetales bacterium. RNAcentral describes it as "partial 16S ribosomal RNA". It matches the Rfam family "Bacterial small subunit ribosomal RNA", at positions 105 to 334 of the family's 1533-position model. The record is from RNAcentral. Lineage: Bacteria; Bacillati; Actinomycetota; Actinomycetes; Actinomycetales.